This is a non-coding RNA of Cervus elaphus (red deer), 624 nucleotides long. Lineage: Eukaryota; Metazoa; Chordata; Mammalia; Artiodactyla; Cervidae. The record is from the annotation of a RefSeq genome assembly.
UGAUUUGAGUCUCUGGGAGAAGGGGCGUGGCCGCCUUGUGGCAGGCCUGCUCUGGGGCCUGGCAGGGACAGGGACAUCUCAGAAGGACUCCCUGGAGAGCCCCUCUCCCCUCUCAUCCACACUCAGACCAGAGGGCCCUCCGCCUGCCCCGACCCCACCAUGAGCCCCUGCCUCCUGGGCUGUGUGGUCUUCUGUCUCCUGCAGGCAGGGGCGGUCCACGCUGGUGUCACCCAGGACCCCAGAUUCCAGGUCGUGAGGACAGGACAGAGCGUGACACUUAAGUGUACUCAGGAUCUGGGUCAUAACUCUAUGUUCUGGUACCGACAAGACCCGGGACACCGGCUGAGGCUGAUCCAUUACUCUGCUGCUGCGCCCAAUAGCGAACCAGGAGAUUUGCCCGAGGGUUACAGCGUCUCCAGAUCAAACAAAGAGAAGUUCCCUCUGACGCUGAUGUCUGCCAACCGCUCCCAGACAUCUGUGUACUUCUGCUCCAGCAGUUACUCCACGGCGCUGCACGGCCACCUCCUCUCUGUGCAAAAAGCGGGCAGGACAUUCGUCUCCCCACCUCUCUGCAUCAGCUCCCUGGCCCUCUCUCCCAUAGCCACAGGCUCCUCCCUCAUCUGA